GAAGCAAAUUUUGGACUUUCUGCCAAUCAGGUGGAACAAACAGCAGUUGGAAUGUUAGAGAGAAGAUAUUGACAAGAAUGACAGUUGGUGGGGGGAGGGGCAACUGGGAGUGGCAGUUGGUCUGGUGAUGCUCUCUCUUCCUGGCCCUUAGACUAAAAGGUGCCUGUCUGGAUAGAAGUGCCUCUAUUCCUGAUUUUCCCAGGGUCUCCCCUGCUCACGUGCUAUUGGUGGCUGGUGGCAGCGUGCUGAGUGUCUUGGUAUCUUGGCGUGGCAGAAGCUAUUGUCCGGGUUUGGCGGUGAGUGUCCUUGAUACACGACUGGGGAAACUUAGUAAUCUAGUUCAGGUGAGGCAUCUUUUCUGAGCUUUCUAGGAGUUCAGGCUGAUUCCUUUCUCCUUUACCUUCCAAACACUAUCUUCUUAGGAAGCCCCUAAUCUUCUGAGAAGACCUUGUGGCAGAGGUCUUUGAACUCCCCCUGGCACAGGCUAGGCUGGAGAAAUCCUAUACUCUCUCUCCCUCUCUCUUCUUCUUAACUACUUCCCUCUAUAUUAAUGAAACCACCAUAAAAUUUCCAAACUGACUUGGGUAUUUUAUUUGGGAUUUUCCCUGGAAACCAAUUAAAUUUAGAUUAAUUCACAACCCUAAAAUUUCCCCUUAUACGGGUCAUAAAGAAAUCCUAGAGGAAAAGGAUGAAAUAAUAAAAGAGCUUAAAACCAAGUUCA
This 721-nucleotide long non-coding RNA is filed under the name Monodelphis domestica (gray short-tailed opossum). RNAcentral describes it as "lncRNA (ENSMODG00000047865.1)". Lineage: Eukaryota; Metazoa; Chordata; Mammalia; Didelphimorphia; Didelphidae. The record is from RNAcentral.